Molecule: non-coding RNA, 226 nt
Organism: Pelobates cultripes (western spadefoot toad)
Lineage: Eukaryota; Metazoa; Chordata; Amphibia; Anura; Pelobatidae
Source: the annotation of a GenBank genome assembly
CUGGCGACGGUUUAGAGAAUCCAAAUGGAAAGGAGGGGAUUCCUGUACACUGCAUUGAACCGCAUCCCAUUGGAUACAAGGAUGUCAAGCCACGACAGGCGAAGAAGUUCUACAACUAUUUUUGCUGGAACAUUUUAUAGGAGCAUUACAACCGGGCCUGAAGCAAUGGGUUCAGGAUCGAUGAAAUGCUCACCCUACAGGACGCAGCACACCUGGCGGAUAAAUA